Molecule: long non-coding RNA, 3550 nt
Organism: Calidris pugnax (ruff)
Lineage: Eukaryota; Metazoa; Chordata; Aves; Charadriiformes; Scolopacidae
Exons: 9
Source: RefSeq, a predicted model, not a curated record
AGAAUUCUGCUUCUUUCCCAAAGUUUGUUUUUAAAUAAUUGUGCCAGAGCCCCUUCAUUUGCUGCUGCUUUGAGCCGUGUUCCCGGAGUGACCCCUCUCAGCAUCCCUUUGAUAUACAUCUGUGUAUCUUCAUGUCGUCAGGGCUAUUGUUGAGGCAGGACUAACCCCUCUUCCCCAGAUUGCAAAGCCCGUGCCCUCUGCCUGGCUCCCUACAAACAUGUGAGACAUGGCUGCUGCCAAAAUACUGCUGGAGCACAGGGUGUGCGUGACUCCAGGAGUACAUAGUCACUCAUGGGGCCCCGUGGCCACCUGCCAGCCUUUCAAUGAGGUGGUAACAUCCAGGCAAUUUGUGUUUGGAACAGCACAGCACACACAGUUCAGGUGCGAAGCAAAGUGGGAAGACAGAGGAGAGAAGUUUGAUUAUGUAGGUGCAUCCACAUGGCCAUUAACCACUAAUUUAUCCCCAGGUGAACUUUGUUCUCUUAAUUUCAAGAUAGGUGGCUUGUUAAGUUAGAGGGAUCAUUUUAUUGUGUGACCCUGAGGAAUCUUAAUUUGAAGAAAUGUAAGUUACUGUGAAAUGAUCCUCACACUCAAAAUACAAAGUUCUCCAUGAGAAGCGGAGGCAAUCUUGUAAUUGCAAACUUCUUCCAAAUUGUAUUUAAAAACGUACAGUACGUAGCUGCAAAACUGGCAUGAUGUUCUUACGGGACAGGAAAAUAACAAAGAAAUUCAGGGACAGAUGUGCCAUCUGUUGCUCUAAAAUCCCUGAUGGUGAAUUUUCAAAACCACUGAUCAAGAGAAGAGAGUUUUUCUUCUUUAGUACUUACUGUUCCAUGAGAAAGGCUCUGCCCUUUGUCAAGCAGGUCAUCAAGCCGACCUUUCAUUAUUCUAGGAUGAAGAACUUCUCUUAAUGUUCCUUCAGUUUCCUAGAGCCCUCAUCUUUGCCUAAUGAUAUGGAUAUUCCUUUUCCUAUUAAAUCCCAUCUGUAAUAUAUAUUUUUUCAUUAUACCUCACCAUAUUGUAACUUAAUUAGCUCCUUCCUCCCCACCUCCCCCCCAACCCCAACCUGUGCAUUGCUGAUAAGACAUGCCUGGUUAGCUUUGGGUCUUGGACUCACAGGAGGUCUCAUAUGCAAUCAGGAGUGGGUUGUGGCUGGGAACUGAGCUAUCUGGUGGCACUAGUCCAUCAGUGUGGGGGGUACGAGCUUACCUGCCAGGGAGCGCGGUGUGUGAGUUAACUGCCUGCACCUUUAUUUUAAGGAUUUUGAGCCAACAUGUUGGUUUGACUGAUGUGAUUUGGUGAGACAUUUCGAAUAGGAUUGGGGUGGGCAUGUUUCCUUUUGAAAACAGGGCUUCAGGAUCAGUGUAUCUCAGCAGUUAAUAGAGUAGUGCUGGUAGUUAAUUAAUUAAUCCCAACAUUAAAAGUCUUCUCCUGAGGUGUUUGUCCAUUUCUGCAAGUCUCAUAUCUUUCAAGGGUGCAUUAUUUUGACAAACUGAAGUAUUUUAUAUUUUAAGUUCAUGAUCAAGCUGAAAGCUGUCUUUGCUUAUAAUCCCACCUUUGUUAUUUUAGCAACUGCUGGAGUUGAAAAAAAGAGCAUUACUGUUUUAUUGCAUGUGUAAGACUGAAUCCUGGGGAAAUCUAGAAUGCAACACUGACAGCCCAGUUAAAGCUGAGCAGCUCUCAAGACACUUGCUGGAGCAUUGAAAAAUAUGGAGGGAAGGACAAAAGUGGUGUGAGAGGUUUGUUCUGGUGCUGGGGGAACAAGACUCUUGGCAGCCUCACACGGGCUCUUCGGGAAGUGGGAAACAAUUAGUGUAGCAUGCAUCUCUGAAUCUCAUCAUUAAGCAUAAACCUUGUUUUGGUCUUUGAAGAGACUGAAGAAGUACAGAGAUUGGAAAACUCCAAAAUGCGAAGAAUUUUGGGUUAAAGUUUCCCAUGUGUCUCCAGCUGUGUUCCUGCCUUCAGCACAGGUCUAGGAGCCGUCCUGGAAACAGUCCCAGGGCAAGAGAGCUCCUGGGACCUGUGCCUGUCUGCAAGCAAAGAAGAAGGAAAAGUCUUUGGUAUCUUCCCUGGCAUGUUUAUUCCUACCUUUUAUUCCAGCAAACACAUCACUUCUUGCGUGUUCCCCUGUGACCCAAGUAUUGGAUGGAACUGAGGUAAGCUAUGUAUAGACAUCGAUAUAGAAUUCCAGUACAAACAUACUUUGGGAUGAUUAUAAUCAACCAAAAUUACGGGGUUUUGCUGUGUCAUGUCUGAGAGCCCAUCUGGUACUUCAGAAUUGCACUGAAAGUACAGAUACCAUGUACACUGCAGGGAAAAGCCAGCCUGUCUUCCUGAUAACCUCCUUGUCGGUACCAGAAAACUGCUAUAAGGUCCCCCUGAAGCCAUGUCUUUCCCAGGCUGAAGAAGCUUUGGUCCAUCAGCCUGUUCUCACAGGGGUGGUGGAUGAUCUCAGUAGGCUGGUCUCCCAGGUCUGCAUCCUACAAACAUCGCAUCUGGUCAUGCAGCAGUGGGAGGACUGCAGAGUCAUAAAUGAAUGUGAAAAUUGGAUCUCCAGGCAAAGGUUGUUUCCUUGCAAUGCCUGAUGGAGAAGACGGGUGAGGAAGCCCAACGUCUCUGGCCUUCUCUGCAGUGGGAAGUUUUAGAGCUGUUUUAGCAAUGUGGAAAUGGCGUUUGUGCUUAAAAUGGAGCAAACACUGCUGCAGACAGACUUCAGGUGCUUUUACAAGGUGUAAGAGAAAUCUGUCCAGAUCAGGUCCCCACGUCUCAGCAAUCAAACUCCGCCUGCUCUGCUGUGGGACUCCGCUGGCAGGCUGCAGUGGUGAGAACUUCAAAUGGAAAAAAAUCAGAACAAAUUCAUGCUGUCUGCCACGGAGAGCAUGGGCCUUUGAGACACCGGAGGAACUGCCAGGAGUUUUGUAUAUGACCAGCAUAUGUUUAAAACAACAGCCAGGGUGGAAGUGCACCUUCAGGCCAGCAUGGCCCAAGGAGACAGUUAAAUGGUUUCAGAUACAUAAUUGCUCUCUCCAACUUCAGCAAGACUUCUCAAAUGCUUGGUAUUUCAAACAUGUUUUAAGUGUGGGUCGAUGUCACAAAACCGUGACAGCUUGACAUCUCACGCAUGACUGAUUUAUGACAGAGGUGGCAGAAUGGCCAAGUGCUUUAAUAGGCUCUGUUUUUUCAUCCCCUCUUCCCUGGAGGAAGAGGGAGCAUCUUUCUCCAGAGAGACAUGGGUUUAUAGUCCACAUUUUACUAAUUAUUCAGUGAUAAUCAGUGCACACACAUAUACAUGCACUUUUUUUCUUUUUUUCUAUGUCAAUUUUACUUAAUUUUUAUACACAUACAAUCAGCAAAGUCACAGAAAUUCAACACAGAAAAUAAAUGUCAAUCAAAAGGGACAAAUGUUACAGAAGAUGAUAUUCCAGAGCAAGGAAGAGCUGAAAAAAAAAACCACACAAAGGCUGAGAUUAGAAAUUGUAUGAUGUCAAAAAGAGUCAAUAAAAAAUAAAGUAUAUCUUGAUAAAGCGUAAAAGAUAAUUAAAUUUCAAAA